This 72-nucleotide transfer RNA is filed under the name Camelus bactrianus (Bactrian camel). It matches the Rfam family "tRNA". Rfam says of the family: Transfer RNA (tRNA) molecules are approximately 80 nucleotides in length. Their secondary structure includes four short double-helical elements and three loops (D, anti-codon, and T loops). The record is from Rfam by way of RNAcentral. RNAcentral also lists the same sequence under 2 other names. Lineage: Eukaryota; Metazoa; Chordata; Mammalia; Artiodactyla; Camelidae.
AGAGGUGUAGCUCAGUGGUAGAGCGUCUGCUUAGCUUGCACGAGGUCCUGGGUUCAAUCUCCAGUAUCUCCA